RNAcentral lists this ribosomal RNA (253 nucleotides) under uncultured bacterium. Its description in RNAcentral is "partial 16S ribosomal RNA". It matches the Rfam family "Bacterial small subunit ribosomal RNA", at positions 524 to 776 of the family's 1533-position model. The record is from RNAcentral.
UACGUAGGGGGCAAGCGUUGUCCGGAUUUAUUGGGCGUAAAGAGCGUGUAGGCGGUCUGGUAGGUCCGUUGUGAAAACUCGAGGCUCAACCUCGAGACGCCGAUGGAAACCAUCUGGCUAGAGUCCGGAAGAGGAGAGUGGAAUUCCUGGUGUAGCGGUGAAAUGCGCAGAUAUCAGGAAGAACACCAAUGGCGAAAGCAGCUUUCUGGGACGGUACUGACGCUGAGACGCGAAAGCGUGGGGAGCGAACAGG